AAGCUCGUAGUUGAAUUUCGGGGUUCUACCGUUGGUCGGGCUAACCAGUCUGUACUAGCGUGUAGAACUCCUACCUUCUGGGGAACCAUCAUGUUAUUAAUUUAGCGUGGUGGGAAACCAGGACCUUUACCUUGAAAAAAUUAGAGUGUUCAAAGCAGGCUUACGUCUGAAUACAUUAGCAUGGAAUAAUAAAAUAGGACGGUGGUCCUGUUUUGUUGGUUUCUGAGUCACCGUAAUGAUUAAUAGGGAUAGUUGGG
This 257-nucleotide ribosomal RNA is filed under the name uncultured Scutellospora. Its description in RNAcentral is "partial 18S ribosomal RNA". It matches the Rfam family "Eukaryotic small subunit ribosomal RNA", at positions 624 to 886 of the family's 1831-position model. The record is from RNAcentral. Lineage: Eukaryota; Fungi; Glomeromycota; Glomeromycetes; Diversisporales; Gigasporaceae.